RNAcentral lists this ribosomal RNA (253 nucleotides) under uncultured bacterium. Its description in RNAcentral is "partial 16S ribosomal RNA". It matches the Rfam family "Bacterial small subunit ribosomal RNA", at positions 524 to 776 of the family's 1533-position model. The record is from RNAcentral.
UACGUAGGGGGCAAGCGUUGUUCGGAUUUAUUGGGCGUAAAGAGCGUGUAGGCGGCUUGGUAGGUCCGCUGUGAAAACUCGAGGCUCAACCUCGAGAUGUCGGCGGAAACCACUUGGCUAGAGUCCGGAAGAGGAGAGUGGAAUUCCUGGUGUAGCGGUGAAAUGCGCAGAUAUCAGGAAGAACACCUAUGGCGAAGGCAGCUCUCUGGGACGGUACUGACGCUGAGACGCGAAAGCGUGGGGAGCGAACAGG